This 18-nucleotide small nuclear RNA is filed under the name Arabidopsis thaliana (thale cress). RNAcentral's name for it is "snRNA_01169". The record is from RNAcentral. Lineage: Eukaryota; Viridiplantae; Streptophyta; Magnoliopsida; Brassicales; Brassicaceae.
AUCUGGAGUUAUUAGAUU